Long non-coding RNA from Lycium barbarum (goji berry), 2461 nucleotides. RefSeq lists it as uncharacterized. The record is from RefSeq and is a predicted model, not a curated record. NCBI's taxonomy places the organism in Eukaryota, Viridiplantae, Streptophyta, Magnoliopsida, Solanales, Solanaceae. The transcript is spliced from 2 exons.
ACCACUUCGUUUCUAUCUCCCUUCUCUCUUCCUCCCCAUUUCUAGCCAAAACCCUAAUCCCUUUCACCCUGCCAGAUCUUGCCCGCCCAUUUUGGGCAAGAGUUUUCAAUACUUUUUUUAUUCUCCCCAGCUAAUAGCAACGUUCAACAGCCGCACAUGAUCGCCUCUCUCAUCUCUGUCCUUUUGCAACAAAAAUCCAUUUCUUUCUUCAACCAUGGCAGAUCCUUGCCCCCCUUUUUCGUGCAAGUAGCUAUAUGGUCAACACAAGAGGCAAAGCAAACGUUUGAAAUCUGAUUUUAUACAGAGAAAAUCAAAAGCAUUUCAACCCGUGACACCCCUCAGAUGAAGCUGGCUGCUACACUUUUGGACCGUUCUUGAAUGGUUGUUUUGAAAUUCGAAACCUUUCACCUAAAUAUCGCGCCCAAAUCGAAAACCUAGGUUUCAUUUGCACCUAUAAAUAUUAUCUUAAUCGUUCAGCAGAAAAAACAACAAUCGGGAACAGAAUACUUUACCAUACUCAACAUUUCACCUUUCCACUACUAUUUUAAGUCCUAGCUUGUUCUAAUUCUACUCUGUUUCAAGUUCUUUCUAGCCGCUGAUGUCUUUCCUUGAAAAUAUCGAUUUCUUGAGUCUUAACAUUUUCGGGUAGCUUACUCCUACAUUUGACACGAUUCGAUAAAUCAUUCGAGUCUGCUCUUGAACAUUUCUGGAAAAUAAGAACUUCUGGAUUGUUGUAAUUCGAGUUUCGAAAUCUUUCGUCGUAUUCGAGAGUAGAUUCGAGGCCAUCGACACCCAGUUCACUGUACCCAAAACAGGUCAGAAAUCCUCCUUAUCUCUGCUUUAAAUUCUGUUCUAUACAGACUUAUGUAGCUAAGUUAGUUUAAUUUAGUGCGACUAUGACUUGGUAUGAUGAUUGGUUACUUGGUUGAGUACGUUGUAAUAAUCCAGUUCGUCGAGAUAUAGGAGCUACGUCAUGUGAUUAAUCUGCCUUAACGGAUUAUGUGUGUUAGUUUGGUUGGUUGUUUAGCACGUCGAUCAUUUCACUUAGUUAAGCAUGAAUAUGCAUUAAUUAGCUCAGUUCUUCUUUGUUCAGAAUGUUUAUGUGUUUGGCUGGAAUUUCAUUUGUUUUAGAAUCUAACAAGGAUCGAUGCCAUGUUUUGUCCGUAAACGCGUGCCUAACUUCAUUGCGCUUACAUCUAUCUUAUACUACACCCCAAUUAAUAUAAACAAGAGGCUAAAGACUGUUUGGCUUUAUACACGAAUACAGUACUUCUAAUUCUGUGUGUCAUGUGUUUAGGGAACUCGUUGGCUAUUUAUGAUGUGGAUGCUUUCGAAAUAGUGAUUAACAAAUACAUAGGCAUUUGGUAUUUUUUUUUCCAGACAGAACCGUGAUCUGAAUGUGCUUUAAAUUAUGUCUCCUUUUUAAUGGCUUUUGACUAAUGUUCUGUUUCCUUGCAUAAUCCAGCUUAAAUUCUGAAACUAUUUUCAAGUACCUUUAUCGAAAGUGACUCCCUACAUUCUUUAACUUAAUCAUGUGUUUAAACAAUCCUUAAAAAUCCUCCUUAUGUCUUGGUCUGCUUAUGGAAUUGAAGCUUGGUUUAUAAUUCCAUCCUUGCUUUCUUUCUCUUGUGUGAACUAGUGUAGGAUGCAACGUGGAGGCAGUUAGUGUGUUGGUGGUUUUGAUUAGUUUAAAUUAUCUCUAAAUUCAUAAAUAAGAUCUGGUUUGAUUGUGUGAGUAAUGGAUUUUUUCUUUAGGUUGAAACAUCUUGAAGUUUUAUUGUUUAAUCCUAUCUCUGUCAUGAGAUUCUUAUCAACACUCGAACUGCAGUCGCAGGGGUGGCCAUAACAUAUGGCAUUUACACUUCAGUCAAGAAAUAAUACAAGUGGAUCAGAUUUUGAUGUCUUCUUUCAUGCAUUUUUAGAGGUCAUACAUGUUUUUAUGUUUAGAGUUUAGAGGAGUUAGAAGUAUCUAUUUUUUCUUUCAACUGAGUGCAACUUUUUUUAUGCCAUAGCUAUACGUUCUAUCUUCAUAGUGUAUUUUAUAGUGUUUUCAUAGCAGCCCCUUUUGUUUGGUCUGAAAUUUGUUGAGUUCAUCAUAUGAUAAUUCUAUGCUAAUCUUUUUUUUUUUUUUACAUGUACACAUCGGAGAAAAUGGAGUCCCAAUUCGGGACUCAUCGUCUUCCGCAUUCGGUGUUGGGCCGAAGCCCAACGUAAUUUCUCUCGAGUCAGCCUCAUCAGCCAUCCGCAGCAAUAUAUUCAAGUUGCUGGGCCGAAGCCCCAACAGUAAACAGAUCGCAGCCUUAAAUGGGCCGAGCCCACUUAAGCAUACAUGUUUUCCGUUGCCCUAUUUUUUUUUUCUCGUGUAUCUGUUUGCUAACUUAUGUGUUUGUGUGCCGAAAAAUUAAUUGCUACAAGAUUGACAAUUAGAUUAUCUAAUUAUUUAGAUUUUUUGACUUCCCGA